AAGCGGCAGAAAAUGGAUGGAUGGAUGGGAAGCCUUGUCUUCCUAAACGCUUGUUUGAUUGUUAUGUGAAAUUGAGUGAUGGGUUGGACCAUGUGUCAAAGGGAGGGAUGUGUCGAGCAGUACAGCAAUUCUGGUUUACUAAGGGCUUUUACGCUUUCACAGAACAUCUCUGUAAAAGUUGUUUGAUUUGUGCUCAAAAUAAUCCAGGUAAACUUAGACCAUUACCACAAGCAGCACACCCACCGCCUAGUAGGGCUUUUGAGCAUGUCAUGAUGGAUUUCAUUGAACUUACACCCAGUGAAGGGAAAAAAUAUUGUCUAGUGAUGUGUAAAUGGUCCUUAGUGUGUGAAUGUGAGUAUGAAUGUUGUCUGUGCAUCUGUGUCGGCCCUGCGAUGAGGUGGCGACUUGUCCAGGGUGUACCCCGCCUUCCGCCUGAUUGUAGCUGAGAUAGGCGCCAGCGCCCCCCGCGACCCAAAAAGGGAAUAAGCGGUAGAAAAUGGAUGGGUGGAUGGAUGGUUGAUAUGUUUUCAGAAUGGGUAGAAGCCUUCCAAGCGAAACAUUCUUCUUCCGCUGCAGUGGCAAAAGCACUUUUAACUGAAAUUGUGGCAAAGUGGGGCAUUCCGAAGAAGUUAUGGAGUGACAAUGGUUCACAUUUUGUAAAUGAGGUGAUACAGCAAUUGUCUGAUUAUUUGCAAAUUGAUUUGAGAACUCAUUGCAGCUACCAUCACAAUCCGGAGGUGCUGUUGAAAGAGGAAACGGAACAAUUCAAUUAAAACUUGCCAAAUGUUGUGAAGAGACUAAGCUCAGCUGGCCUAAAUGUUUGCGGAUAGUUGUCAUGUACAUGCGUAUGCAGGUGUGCACGCGUCAUAACCUGUCACCUUUUGAGAUUCUGUUUGCAGUCCCCCCUAAUGUGGGGAUAGGACCAUCAGGACCGCCAAUUGAGACGACGCUCUGUGAACACGGACUGCUUCCGGGGCGAGCGGAUCAUCCUCUACCCACCAUUGUGCCGGGCGACUUCGUGCUUAUCAAGAACUUCAGACGGAAGAGCUGGAAACAAUGAGGCUGGCUCGGCCCGUUCCAAGUUCUCCUCGUCACCCACACUGCAGUGAAAGUGGAAGAACGGCCGACGUGGGUCCACGCUUCGCAAUGCAAGGCGAUUUCGGGCCCUGUAGCGGUGGCCGCAGAGGAGUGAGGAGCUGUAAAAUCGCUUUUGGCUCCUACGGCAGGAUCCGCGGCUGCAGAGACGAGGGUUACACACACCUCCCUCGCAUCACAUCUUUAGAGAAACACUACUAGUUUGCAGACACAGGUGAAGGCGCUGAGGGCCAAAAUCACCAGGACAAAUGUGUAGCGGACUCACAUAAUGUCUCAAACUGCUAUGUCUGUACAUAUAUGCCUAUAGCGGCGUCCAAUCCACAUGUCACACCUAAGCCUGUAAUGGAGGGUUAUAGAUAUUUUCCCAGGAUGUGUUAUACCUUUUUGCAGCAAAUCUGAAUGAUACGGUUAAAGCGCAUACGGGGACAUCUUUGUCUUCGCUUGAAGAUCCGAAGUUAGAUUUUUAUGAUCGGUGGUCCGAUAAUGAUACGAAUGUGCUUUUUGGUCCAGUUUAUAUUAGGCCGGGUAUGAAAUGUGCGUGUUAUGCGGUAUCUUGGAGCCUUAGAGAGCCGCCAGUGCAGAUGGGACAAAUUCCACUGAUGUAUUGUUUAAAUGUGACUAGUUCAUGCACUACAUAUCACGGUAACACUAGUUUGAACAUUUCACAGGCUGCGCAAGGAGGGGGCUGUUCUCCCUAUUUUACAGAUCAAACUGGCACGCGGCCUCAGGAGGAUGUUCUGUGGCUUUGUGGCUUUAACGUUUAUGUUAGAUUGCCAUAGAAUUGGAUGGGCCGUUGUGCUAUGAUAACAGCUGCUGACCACUCUUACAUUGUGUCAGCUGUUCCGAGUCAUAGGGGUAAGCGUGAGUAUGCACCCCAUGAUGCGAUUUGGGGUACAAAUGUGCCUGCAGAUCUUGAACUUUGGACACCAGGAGAAAAGGUGGCAUUGUCAUUGUUUCCACAGCUGGGCGUGGGGAAACUCAUGCUUAGAAUGGAGACGCUGAAUCAUCGGUUUUCAGGUUUUGUAAAUUGGACAGUAACUAUUACGGAGGCGAGCAGAGUGGAAAUGAAGGCGUUACGGGCAGUGACUUUGCAAAAUCGUAUAGUAUUAGACCAUUUGGUAGCGAGCGUCGGAGGAGUUUGUGCUAUGCUGAAUUCAUGGUGCUGUACGUACAUUCCAGACAAUACUGGAGAUGAUUCCGUCAUUUCGCAGGGUAUUCAGAAUUUGACUUCUCUGCGAGACGCAAUAGGAGAAGAUUUUGUGGUGGAUCCGUCCUGAGUAGCAACUUGGCGUUCGUGGGUAAUGCAAAUUGGGACGAUUAUGCUAGUGGUCUUAGCUCUAUUGUUUGUCUUGUCAGUUUGUGUGAUUCCGCUGAUAAGAUCACUAAUUACGUGUAUGAUUUCGUCUACGUUCGUUCAGUACACAGCCUUGGGACAAGGUGAGGUAGAUUUCAAGGAUGAAAAUGAAGAUCCGUUCUUUGAGAUGUUACUUGAUUAUAAUGUUGAUUAGGUUGAGUAUUUGUGUGGCGUUUUGUAAUUUUAUUUUUAAUCAUGUUAUUACUUUCUAAGGGUUAUUUGGUGUGUGUUUUUUUCGCUAGUUAGUAAUGUUGUUGUUUGUAGUUUAUUAUAGGUAAUAAAAGGGAGGAUUGUGAUAGCAAAAUUACUUGUACUCGUUUUAAUUGAUGAUGUUCUUUAAACGGGUCGCCAAAAGUUGUUUAUUAGGCUUAGGAAUGUGACGUUCUGCAGGAGACCUCUGAUCUGAUCAAGCUCUGUCUUCUGUGUCAUCCUUCUGGACAAACCACACCCUCUCCCCUUCACAGGACCUUGGGCAUUCUUUUACUGGGAUACUGUAUGUAAAUGAGCAUGGAGGGUGGGACUUCUGAGAAUAUAAUAUUGUCAUGACAUAUUCUAAAAGAGUUAGAACAAGCUGGAACGAACGGAUGUGUCGUUCUGGUUUGGUCUCGCUUUGCAAAGCUUGUUAUUAUUUGUUUGUUACUCUAAUAAAUCAUUUUAAAGCUA
This is a long non-coding RNA of Nerophis ophidion (straightnose pipefish), 3112 nucleotides long. RefSeq lists it as uncharacterized. The record is from RefSeq and is a predicted model, not a curated record. NCBI's taxonomy places the organism in Eukaryota, Metazoa, Chordata, Actinopteri, Syngnathiformes, Syngnathidae. The transcript is spliced from 2 exons.